Molecule: unclassified non-coding RNA, 2424 nt
Filed under: Lytechinus variegatus (green sea urchin)
Lineage: Eukaryota; Metazoa; Echinodermata; Echinoidea; Temnopleuroida; Toxopneustidae
Description: protein mago nashi homolog, transcript variant X1
Source: RNAcentral
CAUCUGUUGACAGAAACAAUUUAGCUUCAGCAAGGCAAUCAUGGCUUCAAGCGAAUUCUAUCUCCGAUAUUACGUAGGACAUAAAGGAAAAUUUGGUCAUGAAUUUUUGGAGUUUGAGUUUCGUCCAGAUGGAAAGCUUCGUUAUGCCAACAAUUCAAACUACAAGAAUGAUGUCAUGAUCAGGAAAGAGGCCUAUGUACACAAGGCUGUGAUCGAGGAGUUGAAACGAAUCGUUGAUGAUUCCGAAGUGAUGCAGGAAGACGAUGCUCUAUGGCCGCCUCCAGACAGAGUAGGUCGACAGGAGCUAGAAAUUGUGAUGGGCGAUGAGCACAUCUCAUUUGCUACCACCAAGUUUGGUUCCUUGAUUGAUGUUAACAAUAGCAGAGAUGCUGAAGGUCUGCGCACAUUCUACUACCUAGUACAAGAUCUCAAGUGCCUAGUCUUUUCACUCAUCGGUUUACACUUCAAGAUCAAGCCAAUCUAAGAGGACAUUCCAGCAAUUGCUCAUUCCAAAUUUGGAAAGGACACUUUUUUGUAUCUUGUAAAAAAAGUUUCAACUAGAAUUUGUGUGUUAGUGUAAGUUGAAUUGUUAGGGGAGUUUGUAUCCCAGCCCAGCGCCAAAUUGACCAGUAAGCCUAUCUGUCUGAAGGAUCUGUGUGAACUGCAUCAACCUGUCGUGAAUAGCUUUGGUCGUUUGAUGGAUAAUGAUAUUUGGAACAGUGUUCUGACAAUGGUCACUUAUGGAAAGAGUCCCCUCCAGAACUGACCAGACUGAAGUAUUCAGAUCAUCCACUUCAAGAGAACAGUAUUUGUUGUUUAAAUGCUUCAGAAGAAACUGUGAGGUGCUACAGAUCACAUCAUUCUCAUUACCAGGGUACCAUUUUCAUUAAAGGUGGAGAUCGACAACUUCGACUAAGUUUGAAGCAAAGUAUCUGUGGAAACGGUGGCCGAUCAAGCUUGGUUAUACUAAUUUACAGGCCAUACAAUUGUUUGUGAACAAAAUGGUGGGCCUGUUCAAUGUAUUGUUUCUAAUCUGGCAAGAUCCACCUAUUGCAUGGGACACAUUAUGGUGUAGUCAUGUCUCCAAACCCUCUUAAACAGAGUGAUCAUUCUAGAAAUUGUUAGCCUUCUACUUUUAUUUACACAAUAUCAUUAGACUACAUUAUGGAUGCCAUGUUUGAUUGUUUUGCAUCAAACAAAAACUUGUGAUGCUGUCCCCAUUGUCCAUUUGGGUUUAUUCUGUACUUGUAAGUUACACAUUUGAAAUAUUUGGUGCCCAUCUUGAUGAGGAGGGCAUGUGCAUGCGUGAUAGGGGAGACUAAAUAUGGUCGUCAAGGACAAGUUGUAAAUAAAAUCGUGAAUAAGUGGUCUAAUCCUUAUUUUGUGGAACAUGAGUGCUUUUAAAUUGAAAACAGAUAAAGGACCCUCAAUAUGAAGGUAUUCAAAUGAAUAUUUACUAUUAGGAUGUCUAUCACUGAAGAGCAUUAUUCAUAAAAUAUGGUUUUAACUUUUAAUAUUAGAUAAACACUGCGUGAUAUGAAAGAAUCAUCACCUGUCAAAUCCAGUCACCAAAAUUUUACAUCUUUUGAAACACAUGUUACUGAAGCCUUCUUUCAUACAUGUACAAUUUGCCUAUUAUAUAGCAUGUACAUCCAGAAAUCAUCAAACCAUUUUUUUUCUUCCUUGUAUAUCGCAAGUUAUUUCUAAAAACCUAGUAAAUUGUCUUGAUAUGUUGAGGGAAAGUAGUAGACAAUUCAUACAUUAAAAGACUGCACUUCAGACUGAAAAAAAUCAGCCUAUUUCGGUCAGGAUAUGCUCCGCUGAGACUUCGUCUGGCCUUGGGGUAUCCUGACUUCGAAAAAAUUAGAAAAUGUUUGUUUGAAAUACUCUGAAACAGCAGAAUUUUUAGUCUAACUGUACUCGUGUCAUUUUCUUAGGAUAUGAAUGGUCUCUUUUAAAGCCAUUAAAUGAUAAUUUUGCUAACGUUAGUUUGAUAUUCUUCUGUACAUAGUUUUUAGCACAUGUUUGUAAAUGGGGACAAUCUACUGUCAUUAUCAUUAGUUGACAUGUAAAUCUUCUGUCAAAAUCUUCUAUCAGCGAUGCCAUUUUUCAGACUGAAGUCUGAAUGAAUAAUUUUUCAACACAUUUUCGGCAUAGAAAACACCUCGUCUUUUUCUCUUGAUUGCACCCAAUAAUUACUGUUAUCGUACAUAAAAUUGGCUCUGAUUGUGUGCCAAGUCAUGUGAGAUAGAAAGUCUCCUGCAAUUGAGACUUAUCACGUAUAACACAUACUGUUUGUAUAUAAAAACGGUCUGAAGCUUUGCUCGCAUGUCUUAAAGAGUGUCUUGACUGCAUCAUCAUAGUAGAUCAAAAAUUGCACAUACAUUCGUAAUUCCGAAGCUUCGUUAUUCCGAAGGUUCGUUA